RNAcentral lists this ribosomal RNA (458 nucleotides) under uncultured bacterium. RNAcentral describes it as "bacterial SSU rRNA". It matches the Rfam family "Bacterial small subunit ribosomal RNA", at positions 356 to 831 of the family's 1533-position model. The record is from RNAcentral.
GGGGAAUAUUGCACAAUGGAGGAAACUCUGAUGCAGCGACGCCGCGUGAAGGAUGAAGUAUUUCGGUAUGUAAACUUCUAUCAGCAGGGAAGAAAAUGACGGUACCUGACUAAGAAGCCCCGGCUAACUACGUGCCAGCAGCCGCGGUAAUACGUAGGGGGCAAGCGUUAUCCGGAUUUACUGGGUGUAAAGGGAGCGUAGACGGCACGGCAAGCCAGAUGUGAAAGCCCGGGGCUCAACCCCGGGACUGCAUUUGGAACUGCUGAGCUAGAGUGUCGGAGAGGCAAGUGGAAUUCCUAGUGUAGCGGUGAAAUGCGUAGAUAUUAGGAGGAACACCAGUGGCGAAGGCGGCUUGCUGGACGAUGACUGACGUUGAGGCUCGAAAGCGUGGGGAGCAAACAGGAUUAGAUACCCUGGUAGUCCACGCCGUAAACGAUGACUGCUAGGUGUCGGGUGGC